Molecule: ribosomal RNA, 468 nt
Filed under: uncultured bacterium
Lineage: Bacteria
Description: partial 16S ribosomal RNA
Rfam family: Bacterial small subunit ribosomal RNA
Source: RNAcentral
GACGAACGCUGGCGGCGUGCUUAACACAUGCAAGUCGAACGGAAAGGCCCUGCUUUUGUGGGGUGCUCGAGUGGCGAACGGGUGAGUAACACGUGAGUAACCUGCCCUUGACUUUGGGAUAACUUCAGGAAACUGGGGCUAAUACCGGAUAGGAGCUCCUGCUGCAUGGUGGGGGUUGGAAAGUUUCGGCGGUUGGGGAUAGACUCGCGGCUUAUCAGCUUGUUGGUGGGGUAGUGGCUUACCAAGGCUUUGACGGGUAGCCGGCCUGAGAGGGUGACCGGCCACAUUGGGACUGAGAUACGGCCCAGACUCCUACGGGGGGCAGCAGUGGGGAAUAUUGCACAAUGGGCGGAAGCCUGAUGCAGCAACGCCGCGGGCGGGAUGACGGCCUUCGGGUUGUAAACCGCUUUCGCCUGUGACGAAGCGUGAGUGACGGUAAUGGGUAAAGAAGCACCGGCUAACUACGUG